RNAcentral lists this ribosomal RNA (497 nucleotides) under uncultured bacterium. Its description in RNAcentral is "partial 16S ribosomal RNA". It matches the Rfam family "Bacterial small subunit ribosomal RNA", at positions 28 to 507 of the family's 1533-position model. The record is from RNAcentral.
GAUGAACGCUGGCGGCGUGCCUAAUACAUGCAAGUCGAGCGAACGGACGAGAAGCUUGCUUUUCUGAUGUUAGCGGCGGACGGGUGAGUAACACGUGGAUAACCUACCUAUAAGACUGGGAUAACUUCGGGAAACCGGAGCUAAUACCGGAUAAUAUUUUGAACCGCAAGGUUCAAAAGUGAAAGACGGUCUUGCUGUCACUUAUAGAUGGAUCCGCUCUGCAUUAGCUAGUUGGUAAGGUAACGGCUUACCAAGGCAACGAUUCAUAGCCGACCUGAGGGGGUGAUCGGCCACACUGGAACUGAGACCCGGUCCAGACUCCUACGGGGGGCAGCAGUAGGGAAUCUUCCGCAAUGGGCGAAAGCCUGACGGAGCAACGCCGCGUGAGUGAUGAAGGUCUUCGGAUCGUAAAACUCUGUUAUUAGGGAAGAACAUAUUUGUAAGUAACUGUGCACAUCUUGACGGUACCUAAUCAGAAAGCCACGGCUAACUACGUG